RNAcentral lists this ribosomal RNA (255 nucleotides) under Escherichia coli. RNAcentral describes it as "partial 23S ribosomal RNA". It matches the Rfam family "Bacterial large subunit ribosomal RNA", at positions 2110 to 2364 of the family's 2925-position model. Lineage: Bacteria; Pseudomonadati; Pseudomonadota; Gammaproteobacteria; Enterobacterales; Enterobacteriaceae. The record is from RNAcentral.
CUUGACACUGAACAUUGAGCCUUGAUGUGUAGGAUAGGUGGGAGGCUUAGAAGUGUGGACGCCAGUCUGCAUGGAGCCGACCUUGAAAUACCACCCUUUAAUGUUUGAUGUUCUAACGUUGACCCGUAAUCCGGGUUGCGGACAGUGUCUGGUGGGUAGUUUGACUGGGGCGGUCUCCUCCUAAAGAGUAACGGAGGAGCACGAAGGUUGGCUAAUCCUGGUCGGACAUCAGGAGGUUAGUGCAAUGGCAUAAGC